UACGGAGGGUGCAAGCCUUGAUCGGAAUUACUGGGCGUAAAGGGCGCGUAGGCGGCAAUGUAAGUUGGAUGUGAAAUUCCACGGCUCAACCGUGGAGCUGCAUUCAAAACUACAUAGCUAGAGCAUAGUUAGGGAAAACGGAAUUCCACGUGUAGCGGUGAAAUGCGUAGAUAUGUGGAAGAACACCGGUGGUGAAGACGGUUUUCUGGGCUAUGGCUGACGCUGAGGCGCGAAAGCUAGGGGAGCAAACAGG
This 253-nucleotide ribosomal RNA is filed under the name uncultured bacterium. RNAcentral's name for it is "partial 16S ribosomal RNA". It matches the Rfam family "Bacterial small subunit ribosomal RNA", at positions 524 to 776 of the family's 1533-position model. The record is from RNAcentral.